CACUAUUUACAUUGGUACCUUCAGGAAUGCGUCUUGUCACAUCUUAUCAGAGACAAUCAGAUCAUUCUUCAUGGCCGUGGCUCUCUACAAGUUGUAUAAAGUUUUCCAGUUGUAUUUCGAGACCUUCAUCGAGAGCUCUGAUCCUCAUCACCUCAAUCACAUCGAGAUGGCAGUGGAAGAGGUCACAGGGUAGUGAUAUUGCUCAC
Molecule: long non-coding RNA, 206 nt
Filed under: Physcomitrium patens
Lineage: Eukaryota; Viridiplantae; Streptophyta; Bryopsida; Funariales; Funariaceae
Description: long non-coding RNA (PPAT_LNC012337)
Source: RNAcentral